Molecule: ribosomal RNA, 465 nt
Filed under: uncultured bacterium
Lineage: Bacteria
Description: partial 16S ribosomal RNA
Rfam family: Bacterial small subunit ribosomal RNA
Source: RNAcentral
GACGAACGCUGGCGGCGUGCUUAACACAUGCAAGUCGUACGGUAAGGCCCUUUCGGGGGUACACGAGUGGCGAACGGGUGAGUAACACGUGAGUAACCUGCCCACAACUUUGGGAUAACGCUAGGAAACUGGUGCUAAUACUGGAUAUGUGCUCCUGCUGCAUGGUGGGGGUUGGAAAGCUCCGGCGGUUGUGGAUGGACUCGCGGCCUAUCAGCUUGUUGGUGGGGUAGUGGCCUACCAAGGCGGCGACGGGUAGCCGGCCUGAGAGGGUGACCGGCCACAUUGGGACUGAGAUACGGCCCAGACUCCUACGGGAGGCAGCAGUGGGGAAUAUUGCACAAUGGGCGCAAGCCUGAUGCAGCAACGCCGCGUGCGGGAUGACGGCCUUCGGGCUGUAAACCGCUUUCAGCAGGGACGAAGCUUUUUGUGACGGUACCUGCAGAAGAAGCACCGGCUAACUACGUG